CCUACGGGGGGCAGCAGUGAGGAAUAUUGGUCAAUGGGCGAGAGCCUGAACCAGCCAAGUCGCGUGAGGGAGUACUGCCCUAUGGGUUGUAAACCUCUUUUGUCGGGGAGCAAAAGCCGGACGUGUCCGGCUGUGAGGGUACCCGAAGAAAAAGCAUCGGCUAACUCCGUGCCAGCAGCCGCGGUAAUACGGAGGAUGCGAGCGUUGUCCGGAUUUAUUGGGUUUAAAGGGUGCGCAGGCGGAUUUUUAAGUCAGCGGUAAAAUCGUGGGGCUCAACCCCAUCCAGCCGUUGAAACUGGGGAUCUAGAGUGUGCGAGAGGUAUGCGGAAUGCGUGGUGUAGCGGUGAAAUGCAUAGAUAUCACGCAGAACCCCGAUUGCGAAGGCAGCAUACCGGUGCACAACUGACGCUCAGGCACGAAAGCGUGGGUAUCGAACAGGAUUAGAUACCCGAGUAGUC
This 458-nucleotide ribosomal RNA is filed under the name uncultured bacterium. RNAcentral's name for it is "partial 16S ribosomal RNA". It matches the Rfam family "Bacterial small subunit ribosomal RNA", at positions 338 to 795 of the family's 1533-position model. The record is from RNAcentral.